AUUGAACGCUGGCGGCAGGCCUAACACAUGCAAGUCGAGCGGAGCGGCGGACGGGUGAGUAAUGCCUAGGAAUCUGCCUGGUAGUGGGGGAUAACGUACGGAAACGGGCGCUAAUACCGCAUACUAUCUGCUGAGUCUAGGUCGGAUUAGCUAGUUGGUGGGGUAAAGGCCUACCAAGGCGACGAUCCCUAACUGGUCUGAGAGGAUGAUCAGUCACACUGGAACUGAGACACGGUCGAGACUCCUACGGGAGGCAGCAGUGGGGAAUAGUGGACAAUGGGCGAAAGCCUGAUCCAGCCAUGCCGCGUGUAUGAAGAAGGCCUUCGGAUUGUAAAGCACUUUAAGUUGGGAGGCGUUACCUACAGAAUAAGCACCGGCUAACUUCGUGCCAGCAGCCGCGGUAAUUC
This 407-nucleotide ribosomal RNA is filed under the name uncultured bacterium. Its description in RNAcentral is "partial 16S ribosomal RNA". It matches the Rfam family "Bacterial small subunit ribosomal RNA", at positions 30 to 526 of the family's 1533-position model. The record is from RNAcentral.